CCUACGGGAGGCAGCAGUGGGGAAUAUUGGGCAAUGGGCGCAAGCCUGAUCCAGCAAUGCCGCGUGAAGGAAGAAGGCCUUCGGGUUGUAAACUGCUUUUCUCAGGGACGAAGCAAGUGACGGUACCAGAGGAAUAAGCUACGGCUAACUCCGUGCCAGCAGCCGCGGUAAUACGUAGGUGGCAAGCGUUAACCGGAUUUACUGGGUGUAAAGGGCGGGUAGGCGGGACUGCAAGUCAGAUGUGAAAACCCUGGGCUCAACCUAUGGCCUGCAUUUGAAACUGUAGUGCUUGAGUACUGGAGAGGCAGACGGAAUUCCUAGUGUAGCGGUGAAAUGCGUAGAUAUUAGGAGGAACACCGGUGGCGAAGGCGGUCUGCUGGACAGCAACUGACGCUGAGGCGCGAAAGCGUGGGGAGCAAACAGGAUUAGAUACCCCUGUAGUC
This 443-nucleotide ribosomal RNA is filed under the name uncultured bacterium. Its description in RNAcentral is "partial 16S ribosomal RNA". It matches the Rfam family "Bacterial small subunit ribosomal RNA", at positions 338 to 795 of the family's 1533-position model. The record is from RNAcentral.